CCCCUUGUCGUCCCCAGCAGCCCGACAAGCCCCAUUUUCCAUUUUUUUUUCUUUCUUCUUCUUCCUCCUCCCAGUCCGGUCGCCCACAACCUGCGCCCAGGAUGGUCCGGAUCUGCCCCACACUCCUCCAAACCUCGGAUCUCCUCUCUCUUUUUCCUGAAUCAGUGGUAUUUCCUCUUUUUUGUUUAAUUUUUUUUCUUCUUCUUCUUCCUGUUAACCC
RNAcentral lists this long non-coding RNA (220 nucleotides) under Ananas comosus (pineapple). RNAcentral describes it as "long non-coding RNA (ACOM_LNC001702)". Lineage: Eukaryota; Viridiplantae; Streptophyta; Magnoliopsida; Poales; Bromeliaceae. The record is from RNAcentral.